This 1343-nucleotide ribosomal RNA is filed under the name metagenome. RNAcentral's name for it is "bacterial LSU rRNA". It matches the Rfam family "Bacterial large subunit ribosomal RNA", at positions 1599 to 2925 of the family's 2925-position model. The record is from RNAcentral.
CCUAUGCUGCCGAGAAAAGCCUCUAGCGAGCUGGUACAUGGCCCGUACCCCAAACCGACACAGGUGGUCAGGUAGAGAAUACUAAGGCGAUCGAGAGAACUGUGGUUAAGGAACUCGGCAAAAUGCCCCCGUAACUUCGGGAGAAGGGGGACCAGUCCUGGUGACGACAUUUACUGUCUGAGCUGGGGUUGGUCGCAGAGACCAGAGAGAAGCGACUGUUUACUAAAAACACAGGUCCGUGCGAAGUCGUAAGACGAUGUAUACGGACUGACGCCUCCCCGGUGCUGGAAGGUUAAGAGGACCGGUCAGCCACUUCGGUGGCGAAGCUGAGAAUUUAAGCCCCAGUAAACGGCGGUGGUAACUAUAACCAUCCUAAGGUAGCGAAAUUCCUUGUCGGGUAAGUUCCGACCUGCACGAAUGGCGUAACGACUUCUCUGCUGUCUCAACCACAGACUCGGCGAAAUUGCAGUACGAGUAAAGAUGCUCGUUACGUGCGGCAGGACGAAAAGACCCCGGGACCCUCACUAUAGCUUGGUAUUGGUGUUCGGUUCGGUUUGUGUAGGAUAGGUGGGAGACUGUGAAACUCGCACGCCAGUGUGGGUGGAGUCAUUGUUGAAAGACCACUCUGACCGUAUUGGACAUCUAACCUCGGACCAUGAUCUGGUUCAGGGACAGUGCCUGGUGGGUAGUUUAACUGGGGCGGUUGCCUCCUAAAAAGUAACGGAGGCGCCCAAAGGUUCCCUCAGCCUGGUUGGCAAUCAGGUGUUGAGUGUAAGUGCACAAGAGAGCUUGACUGUGAGACGUACAUGUCGAGCAGGGACGAAAGUCGGGACUAGUGAUCCGGCACCGGCAAGUGGAAGCGGUGUCGCUCAACGGAUAAAAGGUACCCCGGGGAUAACAGGCUGAUCUUCCCCAAGAGUCCAUAUCGACGGGAUGGUUUGGCACCUCGAUGUCGGCUCGUCGCAUCCUGGGGCUGGAGUAGGUCCCAAGGGUUGGGCUGUUCGCCCAUUAAAGCGGCACGCGAGCUGGGUUUAGAACGUCGUGAGACAGUUCGGUCUCUAUCCGCCGCGCGCGUAAGAAACUUGAGGAAACCUGUCCCUAGUACGAGAGGACCGGGACGGACGAACCUCUGGUGUGCCAGUUGUUCCACCAGGAGCACCGCUGGUUAGCUACGUUCGGAAGGGAUAACCGCUGAAAGCAUCUAAGCGGGAAGCCUGUUCCAAGAUGAGGUUUCUCACCACCUAGCGUGGUUAAGGCCCCCCACAGACCAUGGGGUUGAUAGGCCGGAACUGUAAGCACAGCAAUGUGUUCAGGUGACUGGUACUAAUCGGCCGAGGACUUAC